GAUUUCUGAGACAGAAUGAUCAGGGUCAGAGAUGACAUUUAGGAUGACAAGUUUAAGGGUAAUUGGUUGUUACAAGAGACAAGAAAGAGCAAUAGUGAAAAUAAACACAGGCACAAAGCAGAAGCAUUUUCUUCCACUUCAACAGAGCUCCUAUGCCUAAACAGGGCAGGGGAACUGUGGAUGUCACAGUGCCGUUAACAGUAAAGCCAAGUGACAUGAGUUUGUCUAUGUAACAAACCUGCACAUGUACUCCUGAAUCUAAAAUAAAAAUUUAAAAAAUAAAUAAAUGUUAAAUUAAAAAAA
RNAcentral lists this long non-coding RNA (303 nucleotides) under Pan troglodytes (chimpanzee). Its description in RNAcentral is "lincRNA". The record is from RNAcentral. Lineage: Eukaryota; Metazoa; Chordata; Mammalia; Primates; Hominidae.